GACGAACGCUGGCGGCGUGCUUAACACAUGCAAGUCGAACGGAAAGGCCCUGCUUUUGUGGGGUUCUCGAGUGGCGAACGGGUGAGUAACACGUGAGUAACCUGCCCUUGACUGUGGGGUAACUUCAGGAAACUGGGGCUAAUACCGGAGAGGAGCUCCUGCUCCAUGGGGGUGGUUGGAAAGUUUCGGCGGUUGGGGAUGGACUCGCGGCUUAUCAGCUUGUUGGUGGGGUAGUGGCUUACCAAGGCUUUGACGGGUAGCCGGCCUGAGAGGGUGACCGGCGUCAUUGGGACUGAGAUACGGCGCAGUCUCCUACGGGAGGCAGCAGUGGGGAAUAUUGCACAAUGGGGGGACGCCUGAUGCAGCAACGCCGCGUGCGGGAUGACGGGCUUCGGGUUGUAAACCGAUUUCGCAUGUGACGAAGCGUGAGUGACGGUAAUGGGUCAAGAAGCCCCGGCUAACUACGUG
This 468-nucleotide ribosomal RNA is filed under the name uncultured bacterium. Its description in RNAcentral is "partial 16S ribosomal RNA". It matches the Rfam family "Bacterial small subunit ribosomal RNA", at positions 28 to 507 of the family's 1533-position model. The record is from RNAcentral.